GAACGAUGACCUCCAGCUUGCUGGGGUGAUUAGUGGCGAACGGGUGAGUAACACGUGAGUAACCUGCCCUUAACUCUGGGAUAAGCCUGGGAAACUGGGUCUAAUACCGGAUAUGACUCCUCAUCGCAUGGUGGGGGGUGGAAAGCUUUUUGUGGUUUUGGAUGGACUCGCGGCCUAUCAGCUUGUUGGUGAGGUAAUGGCUCACCAAGGCGACGACGGGUAGCCGGCCUGAGAGGGUGACCGGCCACACUGGGACUGAGACACGGCCCAGACUCCUACGGGAGGCAGCAGUGGGGAAUAUUGCACAAUGGGCGAAAGCCUGAUGCAGCGACGCCGCGUGAGGGAUGACGGCCUUCGGGUUGUAAACCUCUUUCAGUAGGGAAGAAGCGAAAGUGACGGUACCUGCAGAAGAAGCGCCGGCUAACUACGUGCCAGCAGCCGCGGUAAUACGUAGGGCGCAAGCGUUAUCCGGAAUUAUUGGGCGUAAAGAGCUCGUAGGCGGUUUGUCGCGUCUGCCGUGAAAGUCCGGGGCUCAACUCCGGAUCUGCGGUGGGUACGGGCAGACUAGAGUGAUGUAGGGGAGACUGGAAUUCCUGGUGUAGCGGUGAAAUGCGCAGAUAUCAGGAGGAACACCGAUGGCGAAGGCAGGUCUCUGGGCAUUAACUGACGCUGAGGAGCGAAAGCAUGGGGAGCGAACAGGAUUAGAUACCCUGGUAGUCCAUGCCGUAAACGUUGGGCACUAGGUGUGGGGGACAUUCCACGUUUUCCGCGCCGUAGCUAACGCAUUAAGUGCCCCGCCUGGGGAGUACGGCCGCAAGGCUAAAACUCAAAGGAAUUGACGGGGGCCCGCACAAGCGGCGGAGCAUGCGGAUUAAUUCGAUGCAACGCGAAGAACCUUACCAAGGCUUGACAUGGGCCGGACCGGGCUGGAAACAGUCCUUCCCCUUUGGGGCCGGUUCACAGGUGGUGCAUGGUUGUCGUCAGCUCGUGUCGUGAGAUGUUGGGUUAAGUCCCGCAACGAGCGCAACCCUCGUUCCAUGUUGCCAGCGCGUAAUGGCGGGGACUCAUGGGAGACUGCCGGGGUCAACUCGGAGGAAGGUGGGGACGACGUCAAAUCAUCAUGCCCCUUAUGUCUUGGGCUUCACGCAUGCUACAAUGGCCGGUACAAAGGGUUGCGAUACUGUGAGGUGGAGCUAAUCCCAAAAAGCCGGUCUCAGUUCGGAUUGGGGUCUGCAACUCGACCCCAUGAAGUCGGAGUCGCUAGUAAUCGCAG
Molecule: ribosomal RNA, 1273 nt
Filed under: uncultured Actinomycetes bacterium
Lineage: Bacteria; Bacillati; Actinomycetota; Actinomycetes
Description: bacterial SSU rRNA
Rfam family: Bacterial small subunit ribosomal RNA
Source: RNAcentral